RNAcentral lists this ribosomal RNA (536 nucleotides) under uncultured bacterium. RNAcentral's name for it is "bacterial SSU rRNA". It matches the Rfam family "Bacterial small subunit ribosomal RNA", at positions 355 to 883 of the family's 1533-position model. The record is from RNAcentral.
GGGGGAAUUUUGGACAAUGGGGGCAACCCUGAUCCAGCCAUCCCGCGUGUGCGAUGAAGGCCUUCGGGUUGUAAAGCACUUUUGGCAGGAAAGAAAAGGCGCCGGCCAAUACCUGGCGCCGCUGACGGUACCUGCCGAAUAAGCACCGGCUAACUACGUGCCAGCAGCCGCGGUAAUACGUAGGGUGCAAGCGUUAAUCGGAAUUACUGGGCGUAAAGCGUGCGCAGGCGGGUUCGGGAAGAAAGAUGUGAAAUCCCAGGGCUUAACCUUGGAACUGCAUUUUUAACUACCGGGCUAGAGUGUGUCAGAGGGGGGUGGAAUUCCACGUGUAGCAGUGAAAUGCGUAGAGAUGUGGAGGAACACCGAUGGCGAAGGCAGCCCCCUGGGAUAACACUGACGCUCAGGCACGAAAGCGUGGGGAGCAAACAGGAUUAGAUACCCUGGUAGUCCACGCCCUAAACGAUGUCAACUAGCUGUUGGGUCCUUCGGGGCUUGGUAGCGCAGCUAACGCGUGAAGUUGACCGCCUGGGGAGUAC